UCCCAAGUGGCUCAGUGUUAAAGAAUCUGCCUGCCAAUGCAGGAGACCUGGGUUCAAUCCCUGGGUUGGGAA
Molecule: transfer RNA, 72 nt
Filed under: Bos taurus (domestic cattle)
Lineage: Eukaryota; Metazoa; Chordata; Mammalia; Artiodactyla; Bovidae
Also listed under: 5 other names
Rfam family: tRNA
About the family: Transfer RNA (tRNA) molecules are approximately 80 nucleotides in length.
Source: Rfam by way of RNAcentral